AGAGGAAAACCAGCAACAGCGUGGGAGUUUGGGGAGAGGCAUUCCAUACCAGAUUCUGUGGCCUGCAGGUGACAUGCUGCCUAAGAGAAGCAGGAGUCUGUGACAGCCACCCCAACACGUGACGUCAUGGCCAGUAGGGAAGAUGAGCUGAGGAACUGUGUGGUAUGUGGGGACCAAGCCACAGGCUACCACUUUAAUGCGCUGACUUGUGAGGGCUGCAAGGGUUUCUUCAGGUGAGAGUCUCCUCCCCAAUGGAAAUAGCCCUCCAAACCAAACUCCCUAUUAGUCAGCCUUUACACCCUCGCUGGUGCCCAAGCCUGUCCAGCUACAUUACUCCUUUAUCUUAGAGUCUAACUACCCUGUGGCUGGCAUCCUACAUCUUGCCAAACACAUCACUGUAUAAACUGGUGGCAUAACAGAGGGAAAGCUGAAUGUUUGUCUGAUGGACACAGCCCAUUAGUCAAGAGCAUUUAUUAUGUACCCACUGCCUGUGAAGCACCUAGCUAGUACUACAUCAACUAGGCUUUCUGGAGUGAUCCUGUGUUGCCAUGGAAAUGCUUGAGAUGUGUUGGAUACUAUCCACCCCUGGGGACCUUUGGGCACAGCUCAGAUUAGUCCAUUUCACCAGAUUCCCAGGUCUUUUAGACCAUGUCAUCUCAGCCCCUCACCUAUCCAUUGCAUCCCAGACUCUAACAACAUCUCUGUGUCUCACAGGAGAACAGUCAGCAAAAGCAUUGGUCCCACCUGCCCCUUUGCUGGAAGCUGUGAAGUCAGCAAGACUCAGAGGCGCCACUGCCCAGCCUGCAGGUUGCAGAAGUGCUUAGAUGCUGGCAUGAGGAAAGACAGUGAGUUGGCCCCCUACAUCUCAAGAAUCCAUUGACUGCGUCUGUCUUUGUCCUUGUUCCCAACAGUGCAUUCUCUACAUAGCAGGCACAGUACUCUUUUUGAAACUAGUUGGAUUAUGUCACUAUUCACUCAAGACAUCCAAUGGCUCCCCAUCUCAAAGUACGUGAUCUCAUGAUCUAGCUCUCCCACAACACCUUUCAGACUUUAUUUCAUACUCUUCCCCCUUUACUCAACCAAUUCUAGCCACACUGACUUCACUGUCAUUCUUAGAAACACCAGGCCGGGCGCGGUGGCUCACGCCUGUAAUCCCAGCACUUUGGGAGGCCGAGGCAGGCGGAUCACGAGGUCAGGAGAUCGAGACCAUUCUGGCUAACACAGUGAAACCCCGUCUCUACUAAAAAAAUACAAAAAAAAUUAGCCGGCCGUAGUGGCGGGCGCCUGUAGUCCCAGCUACUCGGGAGGCUGAGGCAGGAGAAUGGCGUGAACCCGGGAGGCGGAGCUUGCAGUGAGCCGAGAUCGCGCCACUGCACUCCAGCCUGGGUGACAGAGCCAGAUUCCGACUCAAAAAAAAAAAAAAAAAAAAAAAAAA
This 1435-nucleotide long non-coding RNA is filed under the name Homo sapiens (human). RNAcentral describes it as "non-protein coding lnc-APOA2-3:1". Lineage: Eukaryota; Metazoa; Chordata; Mammalia; Primates; Hominidae. The record is from RNAcentral.